Long non-coding RNA from Globicephala melas (long-finned pilot whale), 384 nucleotides. RefSeq lists it as uncharacterized. Lineage: Eukaryota; Metazoa; Chordata; Mammalia; Artiodactyla; Delphinidae. The record is from RefSeq and is a predicted model, not a curated record.
UCGCCUGGCCCCUGCUCUAUGAAGGCCACAUCAGGUGUUACUGGCUUUCCCAGCUGCCUCCUGGCCCUCGAGGGUGAGAACAAACCUCUGGGGACAGGGCAAGAGGUCACCCUUUGAGCCAUCCCUGGACCUCGUGAAGCAGGUGCCACUUAAUUCUAGGAGUUGGAAGGGAGAGAUGCACCAGUCUCCUGCCUCAGCCCCGGAAUCCUGAUCAGGGUGUGAUGCGUUGCUACCAGUCUGCUCAAGAAGCAUCUUUCCAUGGGAGGUGGGGAGUUCAGUGUGUGGGUCUGCUGCAAACACAGCUGGAGCUGGAUAGCCAGGCACCCCUGCAGAAGUUCACCCAGAAGCUGGUUCACCUGUUUGGAAAGAGGCCUCCCUUCUGCC